CUAUAUUUACUGAAAUUUGGAUUAUCGAGUUCGCUUCUCUGCGCGCUUAAUUUACAGAUUCGGAGACGCAAGUAAUCCUCUUGACGACAGACUGUUUUUAUUCUUGAAAGAGAUACUCAGAACACCACCGAAUUCCGAUAACCCUAGGUACCUUCUCUGUAAUCUUAGUCGUGGGUGCUAGCUCCAAGGAUCUGAACAUGAACCCUCACGACAACAGAUAUGCAGACUCGACUUCUUAUCGUAACCGCAGGAGUGAUUUACUUGGAUCUAUGCCGCCUAUGGUCCCUCCAGUGAUUGGCGGUGCCAGCUCGAGCUACGGCCGGGGAGGUCCUGCCUCCUAUGGUCCUUCACCGGUUGGUUAUAAUAUGGGAGGAAGAGGUGCUGGGAGUGCUCUUGGAGCGGCACCUGCCCCAAACUAUAGUGAGUUGCCGUCGUUCAUGCCGCCUCCUGGAGGCUUUGAUAUAGGGCGUGGUGGUGUCUCUAGCCAAAGGGGGUUCGGCGGUAGACUUGGAAACGGUCCUGUUGGUGAUAGAAAAGACGACGUAGGUCGUCGCGGCAGUGGAAGAGAUCGGGGCAGCAGUUUGAUUGGAGGUCGGGGAAGUGGUAGAUUUGGUGGAGCUCACGGCGAAAAGACCUCUGGGAGAGGAAGUGGGGCUGGAGGUAGAGGUUUUGGUGGAAGCGCAGGAUUUGGCCGUGGACGUGGCCGUGGCCGUGGCGAUGGCGGUGGGGUUAGAGGAGGAAGACAUGGUGGAUCUUCCAAGGAUGACUUGGACACCAUAGCACUCCCCAAGCAAGAUUUUAGAAAUUUGGUUCCCUUUGAGAAGAAUUUUUACAUCGAAAGCCCAUCGGUGCGGGCAAUGUCUGAUCAUGAACUUAUGGUUUACCGUGCCAGUAGGGAGAUCACAGUGCAAGGGCAUGACAUUCCUAAACCAAUUCGAACGUUUCAAGAUGCAAAUUUUCCUGAUUACUGCCUUGAGGUGAUUGCCAAAUUGGGUUUUGUGGAGCCUACACCAAUUCAGGCUCAAGGUUGGCCUAUGGCUCUGAAGGGUAGGGAUUUGGUUGGCAUUGCGGAGACUGGCUCAGGAAAAACACUCGCGUAUCUGCUUCCUGCUUUAGUGCAUAUCAGUGCACAACCUCGAUUGGUACAAGGUGAAGGUCCUAUUGUCUUAGUUCUAGCUCCAACUAGAGAGUUAGCUGUUCAAAUUCAGGAAGAAACUGUAAAAUUUGGUUCUCGAGCAAAUAUUAGAAGUACUUGUGUCUAUGGUGGUGCCCCAAAGGGACCUCAAAUUCGUGAUCUUAAAAGAGGUGUUGAAAUUGUUAUUGCUACACCUGGUCGCCUAAUAGAUAUGUUGGAAGCUCAGCACACAAAUCUGCGAAGAGUGACUUACCUUGUGUUGGAUGAAGCUGACCGAAUGCUGGACAUGGGCUUUGAACCUCAGAUAAGAAAAAUUGUUGGGCAGAUCCGGCCUGAUAGACAGACAUUGUACUGGAGUGCAACAUGGCCAAGAGAGGUUGAAACUCUGGCAAGACAGUUUCUACGCAAUCCAUAUAAGGUAAUUAUUGGAUCAGCAGAUUUGAAAGCAAAUCAAUCUAUAAAUCAGGUUGUUGAAGUUUUAACAGAAGUGGAGAAAUAUAAUAGAUUGAUCAGACUGCUUAACGAGCUGAUGGAUGGGAGUCGAAUUCUUAUAUUUAUCGAGACAAAAAAGGGUUGUGAUCAAGUUACAAGACAAUUGAGGACGGAUGGCUGGCCUGCACUUUCUAUCCAUGGUGAUAAAAACCAGGCCGAAAGGGACUGGGUCUUGGCUGAAUUUAAGAGUGGCAGAAGUCCAAUAAUGACUGCCACUGAUGUCGCUGCACGGGGUCUUGGUAGGAUCACUGUGUGUUAGGAAUGUUAGGCUUUUGGGAUUGGGCUAAAAAUUUAGAGACAGCCCAUCCACAGUUAAGGAGCUGGUUGUCUCUGCAGCCUGGUUGACUCAUGCGUGCUUAGUGGAUAAUUGGAUAUGGGAGGUGGAAAUGAUGGUGAAUCUGCUCCUUAUCCCUGCAAGGUUAAGAUGUGAAGGACAUAAAAUGUGUGAUCAAUUAUGAUUUUCCCUCAAGCCUGGAAGAUUAUGUCCACAGAAUUGGUCGAACAGGUCGUGCAGGGGCUAAAGGAACUGCCUUCACCUUUUUCACUCAUGCAAAUGUCAAGUUUGCCCGGGAUUUGAUCAAGAUCUUGCAAGAUGCUGGCCAGAUCGUGAGUCCUGCUCUAUCUUCAUUGGCUCGGUCAGCUGGUUCUGGUCAAUUUGGAUCUGGGGGAAACUUCCGCUCCAGGGGACGGGGAGGUUAUGGCAACCGAGGUCACAUAUCAGGAUCCAAUUCCAUUCCUCUGGGUUCAAAGAGGCCUUGGUAGUCGGUUUCCGCUGCCUUGGCAUUUUUCUCAUCUCUCUUUUGUUAACUUUAGGGGAUUUGCAGCUGGUAGUUACUUGGAUUACAUUUGAAAGAACGCAUUAAUUGUAGCGUCUCUAAAGAAAUCACUUGCGAUGAUGACUCGGUACGUAGGUAUGGUGGUCUUCAUUGGCUAUCCGAGUUCGACUGUUAUGUAGUAUUGAAUGAAAUUUAUUGCAAGAAAUCAGAGUAUGAGCACAAUAGAUUUGUGGGGAAUCCAGUUUGGUUAAUGGGGAGUUCUUAAAUCAAAUCAGUUGUAAAUAGGUAUGUACUGAAAAAGUGGGUUUUAUGGCAACAUGCAUUGGUGCUAA
Molecule: RNA transcript, 2735 nt
Organism: Neltuma alba
Lineage: Eukaryota; Viridiplantae; Streptophyta; Magnoliopsida; Fabales; Fabaceae
Gene name: DEAD-box ATP-dependent RNA helicase 20
Exons: 11
Source: RefSeq, a predicted model, not a curated record